RNAcentral lists this ribosomal RNA (271 nucleotides) under uncultured bacterium. RNAcentral describes it as "partial 16S ribosomal RNA". It matches the Rfam family "Bacterial small subunit ribosomal RNA", at positions 524 to 794 of the family's 1533-position model. The record is from RNAcentral.
UACGGAGGGGGCGAGCGUUGUUCGGAAUUACUGGGCGUAAAGGGCGCGUAGGCGGCCCAUCAAGUUAGGCGUGAAAGCCCCCGGCUCAACUGGGGAACGGCCGUCAAUACUACCGGGCUCGAGUGUUGGAGGGGUGAGUGGAAUUCCUGGUGGAGCGGUGGAAUGCGUAGAUAUCAGGAGGAACGCCGGAGGCGAAAGCGACUCACUGGACAACAACUGACGCUGAGGGGCGAAAGCUAGGGGAGCAAACGGGAUUAGAUACCCGAGUAGU